RNAcentral lists this ribosomal RNA (300 nucleotides) under Escherichia coli. Its description in RNAcentral is "bacterial LSU rRNA". It matches the Rfam family "Bacterial large subunit ribosomal RNA", at positions 686 to 983 of the family's 2925-position model. Lineage: Bacteria; Pseudomonadati; Pseudomonadota; Gammaproteobacteria; Enterobacterales; Enterobacteriaceae. The record is from RNAcentral.
AACUGGGCGUUAAGUUGCAGGGUAUAGACCCGAAACCCGGUGAUCUAGCCAUGGGCAGGUUGAAGGUUGGGUAACACUAACUGGAGGACCGAACCGACUAAUGUUGAAAAAUUAGCGGAUGACUUGUGGCUGGGGGGGAAAGGCCAAUCAAACCGGGAGAUAGCUGGUUCUCCCCGAAAGCUAUUUAGGUAGCGCCUCGUGAACUCAUCUCCGGGGGUAGAGCACUGUUUCGGCAAGGGGGUCAUCCCGACUUACCAACCCGAUGCAAACUGCGAAUACCGGAGAAUGUUAUCACGGGAG